Molecule: RNA transcript, 9286 nt
Organism: Pteropus alecto (black flying fox)
Lineage: Eukaryota; Metazoa; Chordata; Mammalia; Chiroptera; Pteropodidae
Exons: 6
Source: RefSeq, a predicted model, not a curated record
UUGGAUUGUGGUUAAGUUUAGUGAAAACAGUGCUGUGUCUUUCUUCACAUCCAAGUUCGUGGGCCACUUCGAUUCCACGCACGAACUCCAACUGCAGAGGUCUCGGAUGUUACUUGAGCAUGCGGGCUGGCAAAACAAGCGAGUUAUCCAAGGAACUGGAGCAUGUUGGCUUUGUGAACAAUCGAACCCAUUCAGCAAAGCAGUGAAGUUCACGAAAACAGCAGCCAGGGAUCUGAGCCAGGCCUGUUGUCACACCUCCUCUGACUAUGUUAAGACGACACACAUAUCGAUCGCGUUGCUCGGACUCGACUUAACCUAACCCCGAGGCGUUCGAAACGGUGCGACGGAGCCGCGGAGUCUGGGAACUUCUACAUUGGUUGACGGGAGAAAACAAUCUGAUUGGAACUUUAAACCCAGUUAAACACGUGUGUUCAUAGAGAAGCCGCUCAUGUCCUCAGCGUCGGAAGGCAGCGGUGGCUACGCUGAGGGCCCAGACGUCCUGGGCCUUCCCGGACACGACGGGUCAGGACUGGCGGGGCCCGGCGGUGGCCUGCGCACGGCUGUCCUUCCUGACGUGGGACCGUCUUCCCGACAUCCCUGCAUCCGCCCCACACCGUUCUGACCUCUUGGACUCCCCCUUCCCGGGACUGCGAGCCUUGGAGGGACAGGGAUGUGGAGAGGGAAAGGCCGCCCACCUCCCCACUUGCCACUGGCUUGCACCUGUCACUCAACACAGAGAUUAUUCAGCACAUUAUUAUUAUUGCAUUUCUGCCUCUUCUGGGACUUUCACUUCAUUAUUUUUCAAGAAACAAAAGUAAAAACCAGGAAAGACUUGGUUUCAUUUGUACAGUCUGCUCUUGCUUGGUGACAGGCGGCCGUGUGUGGGACAUGGGGCGACAGGCUGCCUUCCUGGCCUCUCGUCUUGUGAGACGGGCAUAAUGCCUGCUGCAGAGAGUUGCCGACAGGACCUGCUGUGCAUGAGGCAGGUGGCACGGGGCUGGGCACAUCUGAAAUGUCCAGGAAGCACGGCUCUCCCGCCUCGGGCCUCCUGCUAAGCCCACCCUGCAGACGCCGUCAUUCUCCUGUGGUCACGGUUUCAGUCCGUCACAGUCAGCCGCAGUUUGAACAUACCAAAUGGAAAGUCCCGGAAAUAAACAAUUCUUAAGUUUUAAAUUCCACGCCGCUCUGAGUAGUGUGAUGAAUCCUGCUCCAUCUUACCCAGGACGUGACUCACCCCUCUGCCCAGCGUCUCCACGCAGUAUGCACGGCCCGCCCCGGUCUCGGAGCGGCCAUCUCGGUGACCAGAGGGACUGUCUCGCUGUCGCAGUGCUGUGGUCGUCACCCUUAUUGUGCUUCAUGUCGGCCCCAAAGCCAGUCACGUAACUAUUAUUACAGUGUAUUGUUAUAACUGUUCUGUUGCUAUUGUGCUAACCUCUUGCUGUGCCUUAUAGAUCGAAUUGCAUCGCGGGUGUGUAUUUAUAGGGGAAACAUGUGGAUCUGGGGUCUGGUGCCACCCGCGGUUUCAGGCACCCCCUGAGGGUCUUGGGCGUGUCCCCGCCGAUGAGGGGGCGGCUGCAUCUGCAUUUAUAACACCAGGAAGCGGAGCCCAUGGAACGUCUCCGGCUUGGAGACGGCCAUUCUGUCUCUUCCGCCUUCUCGGAUGAACUGUUUUGUCUACGAGUUGCUUGGCUGCUUCCCGCUGCAUCGGGAGGGGCUCCGAUGAUGGCACUUGACCCUGUUCCGUGGGAGGGGGCCGCACGCUUGCCCUGGUUCUCUCGGCGCCCACACUGCCGUGCGUGCUGCGGAGGACACAUUUGCUCUGCGCUCUCUUGACACAGCUCUGAGCUGUUCUGUCUUUGCUCAUACUCAGAGUCACCUCGUCCCUCCUCUCGUUUUUCUCUAUCCAAAAUUUACACCUCCCUUUAACUGUGCCGCGGUGGCGGUGGCGGUGGCGGUGGCGGUAUAGUGGUGAGCAUAGCUGCCUCCCUCGAAUUGUGCCUUUUCCGAUCAUCCCAUCUUUCUGGGGUUCUCCCCAGCCUGCACCCCCUCCGCAGCUGUAGUCUGGAUGCUCACGUAGCACGUGGAACAUCCUGUCACCUGAGGCACAUUUUUAGCUCCAGUUCUGUGAUGAUCUGCAAGCGGGUCUCUGUGAGACUUGGCUGCGCAAAUCCAGGACUACUGCCCCGCACCCCCCUGCUUCUGUCCUCAUUGCACUGGGCCUUGCAGUAGUAAAUUCUUAACAAAUUCUUGCUGAAUACUUUGGGUCGAUUGCAAAAGAUUCAGUAUGUGACAUACUUGGAUAAGCACAGAUAAAGGGAAAAAGAUAAAAUGUCAGCUAGUGUCCUAAACGAAUUCUGUUCAUCUGUCAGAUGGGAAAAGUUUCCCCCAGAACUGAUUUCGUUAGAGUGUGUCUUGCUAAAACGAAGUGAAAGCCUUUCUUCAUCUUCGGCUUGUGUUGGUCUGAAGGAGGAGAUGAGAGAUGGUUGGCCCCUGGGUGAAAUGCCGCGACACAAUCAAGUCGAUGGUCAGCAAAACAGAGGCUGAUGUGCAGCACGCCCAGUGCUUAGAAUGGGGUCACCGAGACAGUGUUUCGGAGACCUGCCUCCAGUCUAGAGCGGACGUGUUAGGCCAAAUAACAGCCUCCCGAAGACGUCCAUGUCCUCAUCCCCAGACCCUGCGACUGUCACAUUGUCGAAGGGGCUUUACAGCUUGAGUCCCAGUUCAGUCCCUUUGGCCGUAAGUGGCGGUUCGAAGAUGGAGGUCUCCCUCGUUUUAAGGAACGCGAGCGUCACCAGAGGUGAGCUCGUGGGCCGCUCGCCGUGCUGGCGGCACAGGGGUAAAGAGGGUGGCGCGGGGCCGAGGGCCGGGCCUCGUUGCCGGUCGCUGCGCUCACGCCCCGGGAGACGCCUCUGAGACACUGGGCUGGCACAGCUCAGGCCUCGCGUUCCAGUCUGCUCUAUCUUGGACCUUGGCAAAGAGCGAGCCCCUUCAGGAGCUUUCAGGGAAGUGUGUGUGUCAUCUUGACAGUGGCGCCACAGACACAAAGGCGUUUUUGUUUGCUCCAAACACCGUGAAGAGUGUGAGAGCUAAUGCUUUCGGUCGCUCUCAUUCUCCAGGAGAAAUAAUGGUGCCGGCCUGUUCGGAAGCCGCUUUCACACAGCGCAGCGGGCUGCAGGCCGCCCUCGCGGUGCCGUGACGCCCGCGUGCUGUGACGUGCGGGCUCUGAGAACGAGCAGUGCGUGCGGGCCCCUCUGGUGGCGAUGAUGCAGAUGCAUCCAAGGACUGUGACACUCGCAGUUCAGCUCAGUUGCUUGUAAUUUCAUUAACUUACUUCCAUUCUACUUAAUUUUAUAUAACAGGUAUUUCUCGAGUCAGGAAACAUUUAGUAAAACUAUAACUUGAAAAGAUUAUUUACUAAAAGAUUCUAUAUUAAAAAUGGAAAUUCUAAUAACCGAAAACGCCUCAUGCGAUCAUAGCCUAGUGUGAAGAAGAUUUCAGCUCAGUUUGUUUGUAUGAGGCAGCCCCUCCCCGCAACGCGCACAGACGCUCACACGUGCCAGCUCUGUUCCCAGGUGCUGGCCUGACCCCCAACCCGUCCGCCUUUGUGAUGUGUGUUUAGUUGUCCCAAGAGAUAACAUGGACCUGGCUGGGAGUUUUGCUUUCAAAACAACUCAUCUGACCUAUCGGCUGUCUCACGCUUUGUAUCUAUAAUUAAAUAUAAGAAAAUCACAAGCCGCAAUAGGUACCGGAACAGAAGCAUCUCGGACACUCACUGUUUCCAUAGCACGUGGCUGAAAUCUCUCCACAGUCUUUCUGGGACCCGCUCGUACAAACGUAGCACCCUGAUACUGUGAAUGUAUGUUCUUCACUGUUGCUAAACUGGUUGGUUCUCUGUCAGACACACCCUUAUUUCUCCCUCCCUCCGUCCCUCCCUCCGUCCCUCUCUCCUCCAUCCCUCCCCCGCUCCUUCCCAGACUGGCGUGCACCCCUGCCCUUCUUGUCAGCACCCUUGAGGAUCAGCUCGGACCCCACUCCCUCAGCAGACGUUUAGCUCAGGAAGCCUCGCAGCGUGCGGAGCAUGUGCCACACGCAUCCCUCACUGCGCAACUUCAGCACAUGCUGACGGGGGCGGGGCGCCUCAGGGGGACCACCGUGGGCUCACCCGAGCGGGGCAGAAGUACUCCCUCUCCCCCUUGGGGUGCCCCUGUGUUCAGGGUGGGGUGCUGUUCACUGGAGGUUACCUGGCCACUGUCAAAAUAUUCCCCCAGACUCCGAUUUUGCCGAAAUGAGUAGGUUCUGAUACUUCUAAGAAUGUGACACCAUAAAAGUUAUUUUUAGAUUUUCUUAUGUUUAGGAAAAUUGAGCAUUUAAAAUUAAGAUUGGUAAAAAUUGCCAAUUUUUAUUACUGAGGACACAAAAAAUAAUGUAUCUUGAAAUUUCACAUAAUUUAUAUCUUAGUUUUUUAAACACUUGCACAUCUAUCAUCUUAUUUCAUCCUUCGUACAAAUUCACAAGCAUUAUUUCUCAAGUGGGCAUUAGGGGGCCAGGAGUGAGUCUCAGAGAAGCGCCCUCAGCUUCUCUUUUCCGUAGGUACCAGGGAGCCACGAAUGGGGGCCUUCCUGGUGUCCUUGUGAUUUGUCCCUCACUUGGGAUGGCCCGAGGAAGGUCUUACUGCAGACACCGUGCUGGGUUAGAUGUCUCUGCCCCUUCCUGUGCCACAGCUGUUGUCAAAGAUGCGAGUGUGGCGGGGGAAGGACACGAGGGAAGGGAGCCAGGGCCAGGUGGGGAGGCUGACGCCGGGAAGGGCGCGCGGGCAGGCCAUGCGGCGGGGCAGAGGGACGUGCCGUCGCGGGCUCACUGCCAGGAAAGAAGGGGAAAGAAGGUUCCCCUGCGCGUGUGGGAUGCGUUCCAGGGGGCGCCGGGCCAUCAGCAAGGGGAGGGGAGGCGGUCCCCACUAGGGUCAGGAAUUCAUGAGUCCCUGCAGAUGCGCACCACGCAGCAACACGCCGCUCUGGGAGCCAGUGCUAAGGGGUAGCCCGCCUUGUCCCCAGAGGACUGGGGAGCAAGCUCCUCCCGUUUCGCCUCUCACGUACUUUCGGACAAGGCCUUGCGUUCAAUGUAAUUGAGCUACUAAAUUUAAUUACCACUCUCGGAUACUUACUGAGAACCUGUCAUUAAUACCCCCUGGACAGUGGAGAAAGACUGAUUGCAAUACAGGAAAAUGAUGCCUGCCCUGGAGAAGUUCACAGCCUGUAGGAAGCAAUGAUUCAAUUGCAGGUGCCUCUAAAGAUGGUACAGACUUCUGACGGCCACUGGUAGGAUAUCAUUUAUUUUCAGGGCAUUGUGUCAUGAAACCAUUUAUUUAAUGGAUUGUUGGACACCAGAGAGACAGGCCGGUCACCGGUAUUCCCCGAUGCUAGUCUGAUGACUUCGAGAAAGGAAAUGACAUGACUGAGGCAUGACUUGUGCUUCGUGAGUUCAUGCUGACUUGGAGUGAUCACCGCUUCCCUUUUCCCGUCUUUAAGAUCUGGAGAAUCUUACGCACCUUCCUAAAUGUUUGGUUGCCAUCUGUAUUUCAUUUUUAGUAGGUUCAGAACUUCCUAGAAUCUCUCUGAAGAUAUUAAAUACAUUUUAAUCCCGCGUUUUAUUUCGUGUCGUGUUUUGUAUUUUCUCGGGGGAGCUCUGCUUAUGGAGUUGAGUGGUUUUCUUCCAGCUUCUUGGCCGUUUGGUCACGUUUGUAGGUGAGACCCGUCCCUGAGCAGCGCUGGUGGCCAAGACAGUAAGACAUCUCAUUUGCCUGGCUAGAAGCACAGGUGUGGGUCAGAUCAGCGCUGCCUCCAGGACGUGUGUGUGGCAGAGGGCAGGCGUGCUUUCCCGUAACCUGGGAGCAUGGCUGUCCGCAGGACGUGCAGCUGUCCUCCGCCUGCGACGAGGCCCCGGUUCUCUGCACCUGCCGUCCAUUUUGGAGUCUCGUGUGAAAACACCCUGUCCACAGUGUGAGCACGUCGCCAUCAGCUUCAGGGGGCACAGAACAGGUGCUGCCUCUGUGAGCAGCCUGGCGCUGUCCAGCGCGCGCUCCUCCCCGCCGGCCUCUGCGUAUUCUGCAGAAUUCUGCUGGGAAAACGCAUUUUCCAAGUCCUCUUUCCUGGCUCUGGACAUGGGGGCAGCUUGGCUCUGUCCCCCGUCAGCACCGGUCCCCCCAGAAGCUCCUCGCUGCUCCAAGGGACCUUUAGCAACAAACCCCUUCUGAAUUUUCUAAAACGUAUUUAGAUGCAUUGACGUUUCUGUGGGACUUGGGAGGACGUAAAUGCAUGUAUUCGUCCCGCCAGCUCUGGCGAGAAGCCACCCACUCUUCUUGGGUCCCUGGCGAUUAGCGUUCCGGGGGGGGCGGCCACAGCCACCAUGCGGCAUGUGGCCUUCAGAAGGGAGUCUCUGGUCUGGCCCUGAGCUGGCGCGGCCUGUCGUCUCUCAUACCCGUCGUUCCCUGCGGUUCCCCCAGGGUGACGGGCGGCAGCCCUCUGCCCACGCGCGCGCCCCGCAAGGCAUCGCACUCGCACGCCGGGCAUGGUAAGCAGCCUUGGCCUCCCUCACCUGCCACGGGGACUCCGUUUCCUUCGGUGUGCUUGUGCCGCCCUCUCACGUGGGAGAGAAGAAAGUCAGGAAGCUGUGACGUUGGCUAAGCGUUCGCCAAGGAUGGGGAGACCCUUGUCUUUCUUACCUCCAGCCUUUCCUUCUUUUCUCCGGGCUAAACUGAUUUCCAGCCUCUGCGUUCCUGGCACUAUUCAUCGAGGUCCAGCCUCGACUCCAAGUUCGUGAUUUCGUCCCUGGCCCCGUUCCUUCCCCAUCCGCCGGAGGUCUGCGUGUUGAAAUAGCUCGCUGCACCGCGUUAGUGAGAGCCGGGUCGGAGAGUAAGUGCUCAUUGCUGGCGCGAUACCCAGUGUGGCCAGUGUGGCCAGCAGACUCUGGACAGUGCCCUGAGGCAGCUCAGUGCAGCAGCUCUCCACUGGGGCGCACUCCCGCGUCACUGUCACCAGAGGUCCCUGUGACAACUGUGCUAACUCUCCCCAGGCUCUUUGUGGAGCUGUCCUCCUCCUCCCUCGGCUUCCUCAUUGCUGUGCUCGCGACGCCCGCGCCCCGUCUGGCCCCCGUCUCCCCUGCUCCAGCGUCUCCUCUCCUUCCGACAAAGGCUGUACUCUUCGCGACAUCCAAGUAGCUACUUUUAUGGAACUUAAUGCUGAAAUUGGAAAGGAAAGGAAGCGACCAAGUCCCAGCGGGCCAAACUGCAGGGUACUCCACGCUCCAGAGGGAGUGGCAGGCGUGACGGGCCCUUACUGACCUGCUUCCGACUGCGUUGUAAAGCGUUUCGUUGCCGUUAAAUCAGUGAAUGCAGUUCACAAUACUAACGAUGGUUCGAUGGUUCGAUGGUUCGUAAGUCACGGCAGGGCUCCGGGGGACGUGCGAGGUCUGCCUGGGCGCCCUGCUGUGGGUGGCAGGUCUACUGUCUGUGUAUGUUUCACCUCUUCUGAUCACGCGAAAUGGAUUUUAUAGGGUGCCCUCCAUGGCCCUCAGCGAGGCUGGUUAACGUCCUAGUGUGCGUCGGCGUGGGAGAUGGGGCUGGUCGGGCCGGCAGUGGUUGUAGCUACGGUCUGUUUUCAAAUCUUGACCAGUUCUUAAAAAAAGUUAUUCGAACACAUCUGUAUCACUGUAACUGAAUGUGUUUUUAUCAGUAAAAAUGGCAAUUUUUUUCUUAGGAUGACUGUAAUCCCUGUUCAUUUAUUUAAUUUGGAAAAUACAGACAAGGAAAUGGAAGAAACAACACCUUUAAUCCCAUUACCCAGAGGCAGCCUUUGUUUGUCUUUUUCUCCAUUUUCUACCAAACGGCAUCAUAUCAAGCAUCCCAUCUGUAACUCGUUUCUUCCACAUAACAAUAGUUAAUAUCUUUUGAUAUCAGUAUUUAUCUAAAACAUGAAAAGGUGGUGAUCCUCAAACUCUAGCUUUCAUUACCAUGAAACUAAUGAAACUUAACCUUUAAGGCCACUCACGCACCCUGGAACAGGCUGCACAUGUGUUCUCAUAGUCAUAUGUUUUUGUAAAAUUUGCAGAAGUAAGAUACUUUAAUUUUUUUUCCCUAAAGAGAGCCCUUCCAAAUUUUAGAAGCUUUAGGUCACACGAAGUCUGGAUUUUUCCCUGAUGGUGAGUCCUUUGCUUUCCCGUUUCCAUUCAUUAACAGACUUUUGAAUAUGUCGUAUGGGCUGCGAGGUUCUGGGCCCCCGGGCGUGUCAGUGAGCAGGGCUGCAGGGGAGUCGAGCUUUCUUGGCGCUUCGGCUGCGGCGGGGGAGGUGGGCAGCAAACGUCAGCAGCAAGUGCUCGCCUGGUGUGUUAGCAGGUGAUGCGGGCUGUGGAGGCGGCAGGGAGGAGGGUAAAGGAGACGGGGCAUUUGGCAGAGGCGGAGGUCAGGGAGAACUGAGAAGGCGGGGCAGGCUCGUCCUCAGAGAGAAGAGGACAUCUGUGCUAGGACAGAGCCGUCGUUUUCAAGGUCAUUCAGACAUCCUUUUAGCGAGGUUAGCUUUACAGGCAUUGCGAGUUCUUCAUGAUGACACACUACUUUCCAGAUGACAUAAUUCUAUAGGCGAUAUCCGUAUACGUCCUGAAAUUCUUUGCCUGCUUAAAGGUCUGUGUUUUACAGUUGGUUAAUGUGAUGAAUAAGACCACAUUAUGAAGUUUUACCUUGAACCGAGAUUAAAUACAUAUAGGCCACAACUGGUUGAAGAUUUUGUUUUAAAUGCAGUUUUGCUUGCUAACAACGUAACGGUCAUACUAACAUGAAAUUAAUAGGUUUUAAAUGGAAAUUAGAGAAACAGCUGUCCAGAUUUCUUGACCCUUUCACAAUGUUUUACAAGAAAUUCUGUAACCUCGACUUUAAAAAUACAUAAUGGAAGACUCAUUUAGCAAGCUCGGCCCACAGAUGGUGAGUCUGAUACUUGCCACAGCUGCAGAGGCCCACCUUUGAAUGACAUGGGGGCUCCCAAGUUCAAAGGUCAUGGGUGUACAUCGUGAAAAGCAAACAAACUCAUCAACAUAAUAUAGUUUCUACUAAACCUAAAAAUUGGUGGCCCUUUUAAAUAAGCCUAUUUUUACAAGGUAUAUUGAUGCAUCGUUUAUAUAUAAAAUUCCUGGAACGACGCAGCAGAUUGUUAACAGUACUUAUUUUUGUGCUCAUCUGUACCUUUUAACUUUUUCAAUUUUGUGCACAUGUUGCUUGAAUAAAGAUGUAGUUUUUAUAUUU